RNAcentral lists this microRNA precursor (206 nucleotides) under Oryza sativa Indica Group (long-grained rice). RNAcentral's name for it is "MIR812 microRNA precursor family". It matches the Rfam family "MIR812 microRNA precursor family". Lineage: Eukaryota; Viridiplantae; Streptophyta; Magnoliopsida; Poales; Poaceae. The record is from Rfam by way of RNAcentral.
AAUAUUUGUUGCUUCGAGUUUUUGUCUGUAACUUUUGAUCUUUCGUCUUAUUCAAAAAAUUAUGGAAUUAUUAUUUAUUUUUUUAUGAUUUGCUUUAUUAUCAAUAGUAUUUUAAGUAUGACUUCUCUGUUUCUAUAUUUGUACUAAUUUUUCAAAUAAGACGAAUGGUCAAACGUUACAAGAAAAAAGUCAAAGCAACUAUAAUU